CAGUGGCCCCCGAGGGUACCCCGACACCAGCCCCCCCGUUUUUGCAGGGGGGCUACAGUCGGCGAAGAACGCGACACCAGCCCCCCCUGGCAAUAGAAGCGGGGGAAAGGGGGCCGACAGCCGAAGGGGCUGUCGCAGUGGCAGUCGACACCAGUCCCCUUUUUUGGAAUAUCGAAUCUUGCUGCUACUAUUGUUUGUAGGUUGUGUUAAUUUUUUGCAAUUUGUUUGUAACGUAACGACGUACGUGUAAUGUAACAAACGAACACUAAAUUAAAGUAAAUCAAUAUCUGCAAAAAACGACAUCUCUUGAAAUUCCACAAAACUCAACGACACAAUCAUCACACCAGCGCCACCUGGUAUCCACGGGACAGUAUCACUUCUUGUUCUUAACACAACCUGCCUGGUCUCGGCGAGACGGUCUUGAAGCCAAUAGACUUUUCCAAAAAGAAACUAUAUUUUAUGGUGUGACAACUGGAUUUACCGUUUGAUUCGCGUGAAACGUGCUCCUUGGCUGAAAAUUUAACCUGAUCAGUAUUUCCCCCUGGCAGCCAUGGGGCACUGUGGACUGUUUAUGGUUUGCCCUGCUUUAUCCAAAGUGAUGACAUCUGUUUUAAACUAAAGAGGGAAAAGAAACACUAAUUAUAGAGGUAUCUUAUUCUAUACCUCUUCUAUGUGAUGUAGAAAUACACCUUGGCUUAUCCAGGAUGGAACUAAA
This is a long non-coding RNA of Daphnia magna, 715 nucleotides long. RefSeq lists it as uncharacterized. The record is from RefSeq and is a predicted model, not a curated record. NCBI's taxonomy places the organism in Eukaryota, Metazoa, Arthropoda, Branchiopoda, Diplostraca, Daphniidae. The transcript has 2 exons.